This is a small nucleolar RNA of Cynocephalus volans (Philippine flying lemur), 135 nucleotides long. RefSeq annotates it as small nucleolar RNA SNORA1. The record is from RefSeq and is a predicted model, not a curated record. The transcript has a single exon. Lineage: Eukaryota; Metazoa; Chordata; Mammalia; Dermoptera; Cynocephalidae.
AGCUUCAUUCUAUGUGAGAAUGGGCACUGUUGAUUAUCGUAUUCAAUAAUUGUUAAUGUGGCUACUCUGAGACACAGGCUGUGCUUCCAUCAUGGUAAAUGUAUUACAGGGGUGACAGUGAGAGCUGCAACAUUU